UUAGGAAUAUUGGACAAUGGGGGAAACCCUGAUCCAGCCAUGCCGCGUGUGUGAAGAAGGCCUUAGGGUUGUAAAGCACUUUCAGCUGUGAAGAUAAUGACAGUAGCAGAAGAAGAAGCUCCGGCUAAAUUCGUGCCAGCAGCCGCGGUAAUACGAAUGGAGCGAGCGUUGUUCGGAAUCACUGGGCGUAAAGGGUGCGCAGGCGGUCAUGAAAGUCAGAAGUGAAAUCCCAGGGCUUAACCCUGGAAUGGCUUUUGAAACUCCAUGACUAGAGUAUUGGAGAGGUUGGCGGAAUUCCGAGUGUAGAGGUGAAAUUCGCAGAUAUUCGGAGGAACACCAAUGGCGUAGGC
RNAcentral lists this ribosomal RNA (350 nucleotides) under uncultured bacterium. Its description in RNAcentral is "bacterial SSU rRNA". It matches the Rfam family "Bacterial small subunit ribosomal RNA", at positions 355 to 722 of the family's 1533-position model. The record is from RNAcentral.